AAUAUGAAAACAAUAGCAACGACGUGCCAAGCCUGGCUGCCUCUUCGAGUGCACACAGCAGCCCAGUCAGAUCCGUGUACUUAGUAAUUAUUGGAAGCACUUAACUCAUCUGUAAGGACCUACAAAAUGGUGGCCCCGAUGGUGGUGACGAUGUCGAAGAGGAGGACCAUGAUGAUGGUCUGCCCCAUCUUCUUCCAGGCAGCCUGUGAGACAUUCGAUGUGCGAGGCAAGCACCGCGUUCAGAUCCCCAAGCUCUACACCUCCAAUGUGACCUGGGACCCUCACCACUACAGGCUCGUGCGGGACUCACAGCCUCUGGACCUCAACAAAGGUACCUGCUGGGCUUGCGGCCCUUCCUGCUGGGAUGGCGGUCUCUGAUGCUGGAGUCUGUGCUCGAGGAGACCACUAGGACCCUCUGAAUGGAGGCAGCUGGCCUAGGGAUUCCAGGCCUCUCCCUCUUGUUGCAGCCGAGAGCCUGCUGGGGUGCAGGACUGGAGAGCUUGCUUCAUCUCUGAGGAAGCCUGUUCCAGGAGGAAGCCCUGGGAGGGUGACAGAAAGGGGAGCCAGUGCCAACUGAGGGCCUCCUGUGUGCCAGGCACUGUGCUGGGCUUCUCACCCACGCCACUCUAAGUGACCCUGACACUCAUCUUGUAAGAAGGGCACAAAGACCAGGGCUCCUGGCUGGCUCAGUUGGUAGGGCAUCUGAUGCUUGAUCUCUGGGUUGUGAGUUCGAGCCCCAUGUUAGGUGUGGAGGUGACUUAAAAAACAAAAUACGACGGGCACAAAGACACUGAAGUUUGGGGAGGUGAAGCAAGUUGCUAGCAUGUGGCCAGGCUGGGAUUUGAGCCCCAGCCGUCCAGUUCUGACAGCAGCCAAGUAUUAAAAACCACAUCUUGUAGAAGCAGUCCCAGGCUGCCGUCCGUGAACUCUUGAUGGUGCCUUCUUGACGCUGUGCCUCUGUGAUUCCUCUUUUCUUGUACCAUGAGUACAGUAGCCCUGUAGGUUCCUGCAUGUUUAGGACACCCCUGGCUUCAGCUAUGCUCUCCUGCAGAUACCAGGCUAUGGAGAUGGCCUAGAAAUCCCCAACUUUGGGCACCUCAUGCAUUUCCCAGCGCUUAGCAGCACAGCUACCCUCUGUCAAACCAAGGGUCUUUAUUUGUGAUUCAGAAACAGCAGGGAAAAAGAAAGGACAGAAAACCCCCCUGCCAUCACAGCGGGACACCCCAAGGGUAGUGUCCAGGGAUAACUGACUCAAAUACAUGGAGGCUGCCCCCACCAACACUUAAGAGACACUUUGCCAUUUUUUCCUCUCUGUCCCCCACAGCCCUCAGCAGUAUGCACGCCAAGAACGUGUUCACCAUGAGGCUCAAAUCACAGCGGAAUCUCCAGAGUGCGAAAUCCAGGUAAGGGAGACUGCAUUCCUGCUUGAGUGAUGACCCACAAAUUUAAUUUAAUGAAGGGAAGACCAGAGCAAGUCAGUCUUUGAAAGGAGAGAAGCGUCCACUGGUAAUAGCAACGAUGACUUUGUCGGGACCAGCUUGACCGGUAACGCCUGUGACCUCCAUCGCCUCUAGGUCUGGUCUCCAUUAACCAUGGGCCAGUUUCCCAGCUUGACAACUAGGCACCUGCUCUACCAACCUGUCCUUUGUCACUAAACCCUUUCACCAAAGGUGGAGGGCAAGAGA
Molecule: long non-coding RNA, 1685 nt
Filed under: Lynx pardinus (Iberian lynx)
Lineage: Eukaryota; Metazoa; Chordata; Mammalia; Carnivora; Felidae
Source: RNAcentral